UUGCAGCUGAACCUGCUGGUGAAGGUGGUGCAGCUUCCCAAGCCACGUCCAGGACGGAGCCUCUGGGAGAUGCUGAGGAAGUGAUGGACCAAACAUCUGUGCAGAAGGAGGCACAUCCUGGAGGAAGCAUUUUCCCAUGGGGAGCCCCUGCUGCAGGGAGGAAGGCGAUGCCAGACACGGGCACAGGCACAGCAGAUGCAGCCAGCACCACAACACGUGUUCCCAAUGCCCAGAAGGGCCUCGUAAGGGGCUUCUAUAUGGGAACAGGCUGCUGGGCAGGUUUAAUGGCAGGCCUGCUUUGUCUGGCAUUUAUCUGCAUCUUAUGCUGUGUCCAAAUUCAUUAUUACUGGAAGAGAAAAUGGUGCUCCUGUGCAUCUUCAGCAGAUGGGCCUAACAACACAGGCAGCGGGAACUUGAUAGUUUAUCCCAGCUCUCCACUUCUGCCCAUAUCUGCCCUGCCGUGGCUGCAGCAGCGUCAUGAGGCCAUCCCAAAACCCAUCCUUCCAGGAGACCCUCUGCCCCUGAGCCCCCUGGUCCUGUUCCCCGGCCAGGAAUGAAGGUGGGCAUCCCCUGUCCGCCAGGGCAGGGCUUGGCCCAUAUUUCAUAUUUAAAUAAAAGAAUAAAGUUUUCACAACUAUA
Long non-coding RNA from Passer domesticus (house sparrow), 639 nucleotides. RefSeq lists it as uncharacterized. The transcript is spliced from 4 exons. The record is from RefSeq and is a predicted model, not a curated record. Lineage: Eukaryota; Metazoa; Chordata; Aves; Passeriformes; Passeridae.